Lactuca sativa (garden lettuce) is the source of this 1159-nucleotide non-coding RNA. NCBI's taxonomy places the organism in Eukaryota, Viridiplantae, Streptophyta, Magnoliopsida, Asterales, Asteraceae. The record is from RefSeq and is a predicted model, not a curated record.
CUGUAGUUGUACAUGUCAUUAAGAGACGGUUCGAUAAAUCUUUCAUCGUCAACUCUCUGCAAGAUCAAACGCAAGUGUACAGAGAAGUUUAGGCUCAGAGGCUUCAGUUGCUGUUGGAUGGAGAAAGAAACACCAAAAAAUGGCUGCAGCAGGAGAGAUUAUGAUACUUUAUUUUAGAAAUAAUUUAUUAAAUUUAAUAUCUACAGGCUUGAAUUAAAAGCACAGAGGCAGAGAAUCUUUCAAAUUGAUGACUACAAUGUUUCAACCCAGAUACUUUUUCCAACAACUUAUGUCGGGAGUUCUGCCAUUUCCUGGAGAUUGGUUGAGUGGUCUCAAUUGCUCUACUAACCAUAUAAAUCAAAAUAUUAACAUGUGACCAAUUGGAAAUUUGGGCAACAAGGGCAGAUUGAUAGAUUGUUACAGCUGAAAAAAAAGAAAGCCAAAUCAUUAUCAGGGUCAAAAGAUUGUGAUCAUGGAAAGGAAAAUGAGGAAGGAGGAUGCGGAUUCCUCAAAAAAACGCAAACCGGAGGUUGGAAAUCUUUAGGGGGUAUCUUAUUAUGCAUCACAGGGUCGGUGGCCAUGUUUGCUGAUCUUGGGCACUUUUCUCAGUUGGCUAUCCAGGAUUCAUGAGAUGAUGCAGUCGAACAAAAAGAAACUGUUGUAAAAGUGGCUCACAUCUUCAUACAUGAAAUAAAGCAACUUAAGGUAGAGCAUGAACAACAGGUGGCAGAAUUAGAGAAUGUUCUGCUCAAGUACAAGAAAUAUAUGGACAUCAGUUAGAAACUGCAAAUGAAUUCAUUUAAGAGUAAAUUACAUGUUGUCCCUGAGUACAGCUGUAGAACAAAUUCACAAAAAAUGCUUGCGGGCGUGGAAAGUUGGUCGCCUUUCUGACAAGCCAUCCUGAAGUGAGGGAGGGUGCAGGUAAGGGGUUGUUCCUUGAUUUAAUUUUUGUUGGGAUGUAUCAAAAAAUGACAGACACACAACGCUUCUUUCAUGUUCGAGGUCCCAACAACGGAAGAAACCAUUUCUAACUUCAGUUUCUUCACUCCUUCAGGAUUCUUUCUCUAUAUAAACGUUCAUUUACAAUUGACAUUCUCUAUAUAAACGUUGUAUAUAUUUUCAUACAAUUUGUUUUAUAGUUCUUUUAUCUUUUUUUUGA